Molecule: ribosomal RNA, 357 nt
Filed under: uncultured bacterium
Lineage: Bacteria
Description: bacterial SSU rRNA
Rfam family: Bacterial small subunit ribosomal RNA
Source: RNAcentral
AACGAACGCUGGCGGCAUGCCUAACACAUGCAAGUCGAACGCUCCGCAAGGGGAGUGGCAGACGGGUGAGUAACACGUGGGAAUCUUCCUAUUGGUAUGGAAUAGCUCAGGGAAACUUGGGGGUAAUACCGUAUAAGCCCGAGAGGGGGAAAGAUUUAUCGCCAAUAGAUGAGCCCGCGUCUGAUUAGCUAGUUGGUGAGGUAAUGGCUCACCAAGGCGACGAUCAGUAGCUGGUCUGAGAGGAUGAUCAGCCACACUGGGACUGAGACACGGCCCAGACUCCUACGGGAGGCAGCAGUGGGGAAUAUUGGACAAUGGGCGCAAGCCUGAUCAGCAAUGCCGCGUGAGUGAUGAAGG